UCCGGUUCUUCACCAGCAGUCUCCUUAGAGUCCCCACCACUACGUGUUGGCAACUAAGGACAAGGGUUGCGCUCGUUACGGGACUUAACCCAACAUCUCACAACACGAGCUGACGACAGCCAUGCAGCACCUGUCUCUAGGUUCCUUUCGGCACGCCUACAUCUCUGUAAGCUUCCUAGGAUGUCAAGGGUAGGUAAGGUUCUUCGCGUUGCAUCGAAUUAAACCACAUGCUCCACCGCUUGUGCGGGCCCCCGUCAAUUCCUUUGAGUUUUAAUCUUGCGACCGUACUCCCCAGGCGGAAGACUUAUCGCGUUAGCUUCGAUACUAAAGGGUCUCGCCCUCCAACAUCUAGUCUUCAUCGUUUACAGCGUGGACUAC
This 378-nucleotide unclassified non-coding RNA is filed under the name uncultured Gammaproteobacteria bacterium. Its description in RNAcentral is "contains 16S-23S intergenic spacer region". The record is from RNAcentral. Lineage: Bacteria; Pseudomonadati; Pseudomonadota; Gammaproteobacteria.